This 76-nucleotide small RNA is filed under the name Xanthomonas campestris. RNAcentral's name for it is "sX9 sRNA". It matches the Rfam family "Xanthomonas sRNA sX9". The record is from RNAcentral. RNAcentral also lists the same sequence under 3 other names. Lineage: Bacteria; Pseudomonadati; Pseudomonadota; Gammaproteobacteria; Lysobacterales; Lysobacteraceae.
AUGUCCCCCCCGCACACUCCGGUUCCUCCGCGCCGGCCGCACCCACCUGACGGCUGCUCGCUACGUCUUGUUAACC